Molecule: ribosomal RNA, 497 nt
Filed under: uncultured bacterium
Lineage: Bacteria
Description: partial 16S ribosomal RNA
Rfam family: Bacterial small subunit ribosomal RNA
Source: RNAcentral
GAUGAACGCUGGCGGCGUGCCUAAUACAUGCAAGUCGAGCGAACAGACGAGGAGCUUGCUCCUCUGACGUUAGCGGCGGACGGGUGAGUAACACGUGGAUAACCUACCUAUAAGACUGGGAUAACUUCGGGAAACCGGAGCUAAUACCGGAUAAUAUAUUGAACCGCAUGGUUCAAUAGUGAAAGACGGUUUUGCUGUCACUUAUAGAUGGAUUCGCGCCGCAUUAGCUGGUUGGUAAGGUACCGGCUUACCAAGGGGACGAUGCGUAGCCGAGGGGAGAGGAGGAGCGCCAACAGUAGGAGUGGGACACGCCCAAGACCCCGACGGGAGGGAGGAGUGUGGAAUAUUGGGCAAGGGGCGCAAGUUUGAUACAGCCACACGGAGUGGGUGAAGAAGGUCUUGGGGUCGAAAAGCUCUUUUUUUGGGAAAAAAAAGAAUUAGACUAAUAUACCGCUGUCUUGAGGGUACCUAAUAAAAAAGCAACGGCUAACUACGUG